UACGUAGGCAGCGAGCGUUGUUCGGAGUUCCUGGGCGUAAAGAGUGCGUAGGCGGUUUUCUAAGUUUGGUGUGAAAUCUCCCGGCUUAACUGGGAGGGUGCGCCGAAGACUGGAAGGCUUGAGUAUGGGAGAGGUAAGCGGAAUUCCUGGUGUAGCGGUGAAAUGCGUAGAUAUCAGGAGGAACACCUGCGGUGUAGACGGCUUACUGGACCAUAACUGACGCUGAGGCACGAAAGCGUGGGUAGCAAACAGG
RNAcentral lists this ribosomal RNA (253 nucleotides) under uncultured bacterium. RNAcentral describes it as "partial 16S ribosomal RNA". It matches the Rfam family "Bacterial small subunit ribosomal RNA", at positions 524 to 776 of the family's 1533-position model. The record is from RNAcentral.